GGUGGUGCCUCUCAUCUUGGUUUCAGGUCAGGGAAAAUGAAACUUAAAUCCUCAGCAUCACAAUAUCAUCAACUGAGGCAGCAGAGACAAACAGGACAAAGUAACAGACACCCUCUUCAUUGAGUUGAAUUGAGUUCAGGAUAAACAACAGAGGAAAAGUACAACAACAUGAUGACUUCAGCUCCUGAUAAGCCAGAUUGUGGGCCAAUGGUGGUUACUGUUGGAUUCUUGACGUUGGUCAUUGGAAUCGCUGUUGGAGUGAAACUGAAGGUGGCCACAGACCAGUUCAUUAAACAACAUCUAUGGAAGGUUUAUGUCUUUGUCACUGUUUUUAUUGUUGUUUCUAUCAUGGUGCUUCUGAACUUGAAGAAACAUGAAGUAUAGAGGGAUACUGAAGCCUGACUCCUACAAUUAGCAAACACUUCUCAGUCAGUCACACACAACUAUUAAAUGAAUGACUGAUUUGUACCUUGUUAUGUACAUUUGUUAUUACAUAGCAAUAAAAUACUUUUCCAAAAAUGCAUGUGUCCAUUGUUGAUGAAAGGUGCGGCCGACAUCCUAGCUGUUGAGAUUGUAACUGAAAGGACCCUGGUUUGAAUCCCCAACCCGACUAGGUGAAAAACCUGCCGAUGUGCCCUUGAGUAAGGCACCUUAUUCCUCCUGCAAGUCCCUCUGGAAAAGAACAUCUGCUAAAUGACUGAACUGUAAACAACAUUUGGAAAAAAAGUGAUUCAUAGUUGGUUAGAUGUAUUUGUCAUCCUAUUUUAAUGUGACCAAGAUCCCUUGCCAUCUCUGGCCAUCUGUGUGUGCUCGUACUUUGUCAAUGUUUGUGAAUUGUCAUUGUAAGUGUCUUUAUAGAUCGGUUGAACAUCGAUUUACUAUUAUGUUUUUGUAACCAAUUGCAUGUGUCUCUUCAACUCAUUUGUUUUUGCUCAUCAACAUGUCAGUAUCUUCUGGGCUGAUUAAACCAAAUAGUAAAUCAAAUUUUAA
This is a long non-coding RNA of Oncorhynchus nerka (sockeye salmon), 990 nucleotides long. RefSeq lists it as uncharacterized. The record is from RefSeq and is a predicted model, not a curated record. Lineage: Eukaryota; Metazoa; Chordata; Actinopteri; Salmoniformes; Salmonidae. The transcript is spliced from 3 exons.